AAAAGAUAUUUCUGUUCCUAGAGCCACCUGCUUGGAAGUAGUAAUCUGCCUUCCCUACUUAAUUGUAAUUAAAAAAGAUAACAGCAGCUUAAUAUAAUAUUUGAGGAAUUAUGUUUUGGAGAAAUAUGUUUUUGAUAAGAGAAAUUUGAAAGUUGAUUGUCAUGGCUACUUGGUUUCUUCACCACUUGAAGAAUUAUUCACACUUAACACAUACAAUUUUUGCCAUGAUGAUUAUACUGAAAAAGGACAAAACUGAUAAGAGUGAGAAAAAGACCAAAAAUGAGAGAGAGAGAGAGAG
This 298-nucleotide unclassified non-coding RNA is filed under the name Hevea brasiliensis (rubber tree). The record is from RNAcentral. Lineage: Eukaryota; Viridiplantae; Streptophyta; Magnoliopsida; Malpighiales; Euphorbiaceae.